RNAcentral lists this ribosomal RNA (759 nucleotides) under uncultured Aggregatibacter sp. Its description in RNAcentral is "bacterial SSU rRNA". It matches the Rfam family "Bacterial small subunit ribosomal RNA", at positions 28 to 776 of the family's 1533-position model. Lineage: Bacteria; Pseudomonadati; Pseudomonadota; Gammaproteobacteria; Pasteurellales; Pasteurellaceae. The record is from RNAcentral.
AUUGAACGCUGGCGGCAGGCUUAACACAUGCAAGUCGAACGGUAACAGGAGAAAGCUUGCUUUCUUGCUGACGAGUGGCGGACGGGUGAGUAAUGCUUGGGAAUCUGGCUUAUGGAGGGGGAUAACGACGGGAAACUGUCGCUAAUACCGCGUAGAAUCGAGAGAUGAAAGUGCGGGACCGCAAGGCCGCAUGCCAUAGGAUGAGCCCAAGUGGGAUUAGGUAGUUGGUGGGGUAAAGGCCUACCAAGCCGACGAUCUCUAGCUGGUCUGAGAGGAUGACCAGCCACACCGGGACUGAGACACGGCCCGGACUCCUACGGGAGGCAGCAGUGGGGAAUAUUGCGCAAUGGGGGCAACCCUGACGCAGCCAUGCCGCGUGAAUGAAGAAGGCCUUCGGGUUGUAAAGUUCUUUCGGUAUUGAGGAAGGUUGUUGUGUUAAUAGCGCGACAAAUUGACGUUAAAUACAGAAGAAGCACCGGCUAACUCCGUGCCAGCAGCCGCGGUAAUACGGAGGGUGCGAGCGUUAAUCGGAAUAACUGGGCGUAAAGGGCACGCAGGCGGACUUUUAAGUGAGGUGUGAAAUCCCCGGGCUUAACCUGGGAAUUGCAUUUCAGACUGGGAGUCUAGAGUACUUUAGGGAGGGGUAGAAUUCCACGUGUAGCGGUGAAAUGCGUAGAGAUGUGGAGGAAUACCGAAGGCGAAGGCAGCCCCUUGGGAAUGUACUGACGCUCAUGUGCGAAAGCGUGGGGAGCAAACAGG